UGAGUAACCUGCCCUUAACUCUGGGAUAAGCCUGGGAAACUGGGCCUAAUACCGGAUAUGACUCCUCAUCGCAUGGUGGGGGGUGGAAAGCUUUAUUGUGGUUUUGGAUGGACUCGCGGCCUAUCAGCUUGUUGGUGAGGUAAUGGCUCACCAAGGCGACGACGGGUAGCCGGCCUGAGAGGGUGACCGGCCACACUGGGACUGAGACACGGCCCAGACUCCUACGGGAGGCAG
Molecule: ribosomal RNA, 234 nt
Filed under: uncultured bacterium
Lineage: Bacteria
Description: partial 16S ribosomal RNA
Rfam family: Bacterial small subunit ribosomal RNA
Source: RNAcentral